This 22-nucleotide non-coding RNA is filed under the name Arabidopsis thaliana (thale cress). Lineage: Eukaryota; Viridiplantae; Streptophyta; Magnoliopsida; Brassicales; Brassicaceae. The record is from RNAcentral.
UGGAUAAGAGUGGUGUAAGUGA